Molecule: non-coding RNA, 402 nt
Organism: Danio rerio (zebrafish)
Lineage: Eukaryota; Metazoa; Chordata; Actinopteri; Cypriniformes; Danionidae
Source: the annotation of a RefSeq genome assembly
ACUCUCAGAAUGACUGAAGGAGCUGUUUUUGUCCCUAUAUCUUUCUCUCUAGCUGCGGCUCGUCCCACUGUGGCAGUACUUUGGCCCUCCAGAAAUGAACUGCAGAAGGGUCAGGCUACAGUACUGUGUGUGGCCAGUAAGGGAUUCCCAUCUGACUGGACCCUGAGCUGGAAGGUAGAUGACAGCAGCAGGAGCUCUGGUGUGAAUGUGAGUCCCAGUGAGCUGCAGGAGGAUGGACUGUACAGCUGGAGCAGCAGCCUGAGCCUCACUGAGAGUGAGUGGAGCAGAGCAACAAGCAUCAGCUGUGACGCCACACACCCGUCCCAGCACACAGUGAGCCACAAGAUACGUACACAGCAGUGCCAUGAUUAGCAGCACGAAACACACACACACACACACACA